UGUUUGAUGUUCUAACGUUGGCCCCUGAUCGGGGUUGCGGACAGUGUCUGGUGGGUAGUUUGACUGGGGCGGUCUCCUCCUAAAGAGUAACGGAGGAGCACGAAGGUUGGCUAAUCCUGGUCGGACAUCAGGAGGUUAGUGCAAUGGCAUAAGCCAGCUUGACUGCGAGCGUGACGGCGCGAGCAGGUGCGAAAGCAGGUCAUAGUGAUCCGGUGGUUCUGAAUGGAAGGGCCAUCGCUCAACGGAUAAAAGGUACUCCGGGGAUAACAGGCUGAUACCGCCCAAGAGUUCAUAUCGACGGCGGUGUUUGGCACCUCGAUGUCGGCUCAUCACAUCCUGGGGCUGAAGUAGGUCCCAAGGGUAUGGCUGUUCGCCAUUUAAAGUGGUACGCGAGCUGGGUUUAGAACGUCGUGAGACAGUUCGGUCCCUAUCUGCCGUGGGCGCUGGAGAACUGAGGGGGGCUGCUCCUAGUACGAGAGGACCGGAGUGGACGCAUCACUGGUGUUCGGGUUGUCAUGCCAAUGGCACUGCCCGGUAGCUAAAUGCGGAAGAGAUAAGUGCUGAAAGCAUCUAAGCACGAAACUUGCCCCGAGAUGAGUUCUCCCUGAGACUUUAAGUCUCCUGAAGGAACGUUGAAGACGACGACGUUGA
Molecule: ribosomal RNA, 651 nt
Filed under: Escherichia coli
Lineage: Bacteria; Pseudomonadati; Pseudomonadota; Gammaproteobacteria; Enterobacterales; Enterobacteriaceae
Description: partial 23S ribosomal RNA
Rfam family: Bacterial large subunit ribosomal RNA
Source: RNAcentral